UACGGGGGGUGCAAGCGUUAAUCGGAAUUACUGGGCGUAAAGCGUGCGUAGGCGGUUUGGUCAGUCAGCCGUGAAAUCCCCGGGCUUAACCUGGGAAUUGCGGUUGAGACGGCCAGACUAGAGGGGGCUAGAGGAUCGUGGAAUUCCUGGUGUAGCGGUGAAAUGCGUAGAGAUCAGGAAGAACACCGAUGGCGAAGGCAGCGGUCUGGGGCCUUACUGACGCUGAGGCACGAAGGCGUGGGGAGCAAACAGG
Molecule: ribosomal RNA, 253 nt
Filed under: uncultured bacterium
Lineage: Bacteria
Description: partial 16S ribosomal RNA
Rfam family: Bacterial small subunit ribosomal RNA
Source: RNAcentral